Molecule: small nucleolar RNA, 72 nt
Organism: Rhopilema esculentum
Lineage: Eukaryota; Metazoa; Cnidaria; Scyphozoa; Rhizostomeae; Rhizostomatidae
Product: small nucleolar RNA SNORD34
Source: RefSeq, a predicted model, not a curated record
GGUUUUCAAUGAUGCUUUUAACCUACAUUGUUUGAAAUAUACGUGUGAACAUACUAGCCAACUGAGAAAACC